AUGGCAUGGAGGCCUAACAUGGCCUUCAAUACUCACCCCAAAAAGUUGGGUCGAUUUCAUACAGGUCAGGAUAGUACUAUAGCAUCUGCUCUCAAAGGGCGCCAGGCACGGCCGGAAGGGCUUGUGUCGGAGAACCUCCAUCACGAAGGUUCUCGACGGAGGCAGUGCGUGUACCGCAUCGACUCCAUGGAUGGAAUCCAGUUUGAACCAAUGUUCGCACUUGGAGGUGGCCCGAGACAGGCCCUUCCGGACUAUCCUUGUACCCUCCGAAAGGUUGCAAGCCAUGGUCCCCUACCACCUCCCACGACCGCUGCAAGAUCAGAUUGUAGCCGCCCACCGCCCACCGCCCACCGGGAACGUCGCCUGAGGGGUCAAGCGGCAGUGGUGUUGUCGCCGCCUCCUACGCGCGUCAACGCGCCGCUGCUCUUGUUGCUGCCGUCGAGCGCCACACAUCCACAUCUAGUGUGGGACGCACUAUCCGCAUGGAGCAUUGGGCCGCCACCGCCGACGACAGAAGGUGCCAGUAAAAUGGAAACUACUGUUAAAAGUGCUGCUAAUGGAGAAAAACACGUCUCCGAAGUGACCGAUGAGAUUUGGUAUUGGGAGCACCUGCGUUCCGGCAAAUGGAUGUAUACUCCUAUACCCCCACCAUUGGUCGCACGAUGGGACGAAUGCAGAUGUGUAAUAAGAGCAGAAGCUUACACCCCAGGAGGUCUUCAUAAAGGACUCGUUGUGAUGGAAAUUUGUGCUCGACAACCAGAGGCCAACAAUAGAAAGGAUCCAGGAAGCAAAAAAUUUGUAUGUGUGGAUGAAGGUGAUUCAUCUCGAGCACAAUCACAAGGUCAAAAUAUGAGUAGCCACCAAGUGGAAAUGAUAGUUGCAGCCCUGAAUGCACAUUCUGCUGAGCAAGAAAAGAAGAUAGGGAGACAGUUAAUGGAAUUUGAGCAUAGAUUUGACGCGAAAUUCCUCACCCUGAGCGCACAGUUAAUCGACAUUAAGAGUAAAUCUGGCAGUAAUCCUAGGCUCUCGCUGCUCGAGGAUGAAAUUAAGGACUUAAGGAGGGAUCUGAAGGAAUUAAAAAACCAAACAAAAGUCAGCCGACAAUCCGAGUCACAGAAAGCAGGCGUCGAGGAACAAGUCAACGUGUGCAGUGAUCCCUUAAUGGCGACUCCUAAGUUCGACGCAUCCACGCCACAUACUUCGACUCCAACACCAAGUGCCAGACACGUCCUGCCAAACAAGGACGAUCCUCGAAUCACACCAUUGAAGCCUCUGUUUGAUAAUGAUUACGUGCUCACCGCUGAGGACAAAGAGGCAGCCAUUUUCAUCCGGGGAACACACGGCCCUAUUGAAGUGGUUCAAAUCGGAGACAUUCCCCUAAGAGCGGAACAACUGAAGCCAAUUUAUGAUAAAAAAUACAUCUGUGGUGAUGUUAUUAUGGCGUAUGCUCACAUCAGCGGAGUUGAGACUGAUACUACCUCAGUCAUAUCUCCUAAUGAAACCAGAAAGCUUUUACAAACAAAAGGGGUUAUUCCAAAGGGCCGUGGAAGCUCGUGGGUUCAGCAUGUUGCAAAUAAAUUUGUAGGACGCCGGAAGGUCCACAUCCCGUUGAAUGUGCAUGAUAACCACUGGAUGGCGAUGGUAUUCAAUUUCGACAAAGAAGAGAUUCAAAUCCUAAACUCCUUGAAAAAUCACUUUGACAAGUCCAAGGAAACUACUCUUGUAAGCUUUAUCUUGCUGCCUCUUUACUGUCGCAUGGCACAUGAACUCCCAAAUCACCGUAACCCUUCAUAA
RNAcentral lists this ribosomal RNA (1794 nucleotides) under Triticum aestivum (bread wheat). Its description in RNAcentral is "partial small subunit ribosomal RNA". Lineage: Eukaryota; Viridiplantae; Streptophyta; Magnoliopsida; Poales; Poaceae. The record is from RNAcentral.